Molecule: ribosomal RNA, 488 nt
Filed under: Veillonella parvula
Lineage: Bacteria; Bacillati; Bacillota; Negativicutes; Veillonellales; Veillonellaceae
Description: bacterial SSU rRNA
Rfam family: Bacterial small subunit ribosomal RNA
Source: RNAcentral
GACGAACGCGGCGGCGUGCUUAACACAUGCAAGUCGAACGAAGAGCGAUGGAAGCUUGCUUCUAUCAAUCUUAGUGGCGAACGGGUGAGUAACGCGUAAUCAACCUGCCCUUCAGAGGGGGACAACAGUUGGAAACGACUGCUAAUACCGCAUACGAUCUAAUCUCGGCAUCGAGGAUAGAUGAAAGGUGGCCUCUACAUGUAAGCUAUCACUGAAGGAGGGGAUUGCGUCUGAUUAGCUAGUUGGAGGGGUAACGGCCCACCAAGGCGAUGAUCAGUAGCCGGUCUGAGAGGAUGAACGGCCACAUUGGGACUGGGACACGGCCCAGACUCCUACGGGAGGCAGCAGUGGGGAAUCUUCCGCAAUGGACGAAAGUCUGACGGAGCAACGCCGCGUGAGUGAUGACGGCCUUCGGGUUGUAAAGCUCUGUUAAUCGGGACGAAAGGCCUUCUUGCGAAUAGUGAGAAGGAUUGACGGUACCCGGAAUA